RNAcentral lists this ribosomal RNA (504 nucleotides) under uncultured bacterium. Its description in RNAcentral is "SSU rRNA". It matches the Rfam family "Bacterial small subunit ribosomal RNA", at positions 26 to 518 of the family's 1533-position model. The record is from RNAcentral.
AGGACGAACGCUGGCGGCGCGCUUAACACAUGCAAGUCGAGCGAGAACCGGGACUUCGGUCCCGGGGACAGCGGCGAACGGGUGAGUAACACGUGGGUAAUCAACCCUCGGCACCGGGAUAGCCCGAGGAAACUCGGAUUAAUACCGGAUAGCCCCUCCGACUCUCGAGUCGGUCGGGAAAGGUAGCUUAGGCCCCUGGCCGGGGACGAGCCCGCGGCGGAUUAGCUUGUUGGUGGGGUAAUGGCCUACCAAGGCAACGAUCCGUAGCUGGUCUGAGAGGACGAUCAGCCACACUGGGACUGAGACACGGCCCAGACUCCUACGGGAGGCAGCAGUGGGAAUCUUGCGCAAUGGGCGAAAGCCUGACGCAGCGACGCCGCGUGAGGGAAGAAGGCCUUCGGGUUGUAAACCUCUUUCAGGAGGGACGAAGCUACUCGGGUGAAUAGCCCAGAGGGUGACGGUACCUCCAGAAGAAGCCCCGGCUAACUACGUGCCAGCAGCCGC